UCCAGGGGCACUGCACACAUAUGGAACAGACAUGCAAGCAAACAUAAAAGUAAAAAUUUUAUAAAUAAAGCCAAUUUUUUCAAAAGAUCUUUUAUGUUAACAUUGUGACAUGUUUCAGAGUAGGGCUGACGCAUAGAAAACUAAAUAAUGGAACUUCGUUCUACAGACACAAAAUUCUCAUGCUCUCUAUAUACAAUGAGAAUGCCUCAGAAUUCACCCGUUCCCGAUAUGAAGGGGAACAGGUAACCUAAAACCUUGACUCUACACACAGAUGCCUACCUUCUCUUCUAGAAGUCGGACCAGUUCAUCUCAAGCUCCAGAGCUGCAGAAGGAACACCAGAGCAACAGCCCUCAAAAGAGUUGCCUACUCUUUGUGUGCUCUUGGUAUGUUAAGCGUCACAGGCCACUGAGGAACUGAAAAGUAAGACACCACCAUGGUACCACUUACACACUUAUCAAAACGCCUGCACCCCAGACCCCACUCAUCCAUUGCUUGUGGGAACGCAAGAGGAGAAUUCAGAAGACAGUGGUGUAAGAAGGAACCAACUGAAGCCAUUUGGAACAGGCCUUAACUCAAAGUUUAAGUUCCCAAGACCUCCCUGGGUAACUGACUUCCUGCUUGGUGAGUAGAAGCAUGGAUGCUAGGUGAGUGCACUUCAACAUGAACGCUGCAGUUGAGUCCUGUAGGAACAGAGUAAGUGCACCACAAAGACGUGCUCUUAAGGAAGUCCCCUACCCCUAAGUCCUGAUUGGUGGGAUAACUUAGCACAGACGUUUAUGGAUUUCAAGCUUAAAAGCCCCGUACCAUUCUGGCUUGGGGUUGCAGUUCAGUUCCUGAGUCUCUUCUAUGGCCCUGAUUGAUCAGCAGCAGCCCGAGUGCAAUACAUCUUUGUCAUCUGCUUAAAUACUUACUAAGAUGUUCGAAGACGCAGUCAGACGGAGUCUGUGCUGCUGUUCCUAACUGGUUGAUUUUUGCUGCCUAAUUCAAAUAAAGAUCUUGCUUUGGGGGGACUCUUGAA
This is a long non-coding RNA of Mus musculus (house mouse), 1019 nucleotides long. RefSeq annotates it as predicted gene, 42228. The record is from RefSeq and is a predicted model, not a curated record. NCBI's taxonomy places the organism in Eukaryota, Metazoa, Chordata, Mammalia, Rodentia, Muridae. The transcript is spliced from 2 exons.